UUCGUUAUACAAAUUAAUCGUCAAAAUAGUACUACUAAAGAACCGCAAAUAUAUGCUUAAACUAAAAUUUGCUCUUUUUAGUAAGUCCAUUUCGGAUACUCUACUUGUUAUAAUUGAUUACUACAAUAUUCGCUUCUUUUGAUUAAAAAUAAGUGCAGAAUCAAUUUUAAUAUAUAAGAGUUAAAUAUCACUAAAUAAAAGUUAACAUCUAUCAAUACCAAAAUUAACUAUAUUACUAGUUCACCUCUUUCGAUUACAUAAUUAAUAAGUUAAUAUGUAGUACGAAAUAGAUAGAUGUUAACAAAUUAAAUAACACUUAACUAUAAAAAAGAUAAAAUUCAAAUGAAAAACUUCAUCUCAGAUAUCUGAAAUUGAGGGAUAAUAUCUACUAUUAUAUAGAAAUAUUAAGAUUCGUCAUUCUUCCAACACAAGAAAAGUUACUCUAUAAUGAAUUCAGUACUGACAACGAAAAUAUUCUUGGCCAUUAAAUAAGAAAAUAGAAAAAAAUAUUUAAGAGAAUAAUUUCCUCUAUUUAAUUAAAAAGAGGUGCUAGAGUGAUUUUUAAUAUUAUAAUUUAUUCGAAACUAAAAAUGAAGACAUUGUAAUAACUAAAAGAAGAAAAGAAAGUAAUGAAAGAAGCCAGGAAAAGAAGAAGCUCUCCCUAUUUUUCGUUGU
RNAcentral lists this long non-coding RNA (675 nucleotides) under Nicotiana benthamiana. RNAcentral's name for it is "long non-coding RNA (NBEN_LNC005346)". The record is from RNAcentral. Lineage: Eukaryota; Viridiplantae; Streptophyta; Magnoliopsida; Solanales; Solanaceae.